This 589-nucleotide ribosomal RNA is filed under the name uncultured bacterium. RNAcentral's name for it is "bacterial SSU rRNA". It matches the Rfam family "Bacterial small subunit ribosomal RNA", at positions 120 to 706 of the family's 1533-position model. The record is from RNAcentral.
AGCAACAUGCCCUAUACAGGGGAAUAAACCAGGGAAACUUGGUCUAAUGCCCCAUAGCAAUAAGAUAAGGCAUCUUAUUUUAUUUAAAGCUUCGGUGGUAUAGGAUUGGCUCGCGUGACAUUAGCUGGAUGGUGGGGUAACGGCCCACCAUGGCGAUGAUGUCUAGGGGUUCUGAGAGGAAGACCCCCCACACUGGGACUGAGACACGGCCCAGACUCCUACGGGAGGCAGCAGUGAGGAAUAUUGGACAAUGGAUGGAAAUCUGAUCCAGCCAUGCCGCGUGCAGGAAGACGGCCCUAUGGGUUGUAAACUGCUUUUCUACGGGAGCAAUAAGGUCUACGCGUAGACUGAUGAGAGUACCGUAGGAAUAAGCAUCGGCUAACUCCGUGCCAGCAGCCGCGGUAAUACGGAGGAUGCGAGCGUUAUCCGGAUUUAUUGGGUUUAAAGGGUGCGUAGGCGGCUUUUUAAGUCAGCGGUGAAAUUUUGCAGCUUAACUGUAACAGUGCCGUUGAUACUGGGGAGCUAGGAUUUGGUUGCUGUGGGUGGAAUGUGUGGUGUAGCCGGUGAAAUGCUUAGAGAUCACACAGAA